Molecule: RNA transcript, 6074 nt
Organism: Daphnia magna
Lineage: Eukaryota; Metazoa; Arthropoda; Branchiopoda; Diplostraca; Daphniidae
Gene name: collagen alpha-1(III) chain
Exons: 15
Source: RefSeq, a predicted model, not a curated record
UCUACUUUUGGUUGCAUUUGCUUUUAUACCAUCUGGCAGCUAGUGUGACCUUCACCGUGAACUGCUUCCGGGCAAGACAUUAGUGUUUUUCUGAGAAGAUGGCAAAUCAAAAAUUUGUUAAAUUUUUUUAUUUGCUUGUGGAUCUGCAAAAGGAAGGCCUUGAUGCCCAUUUAGUGCUUUGCUAACUUCGAACACACGAGGAUCUGUGACUUCGAGGCAGUUAUAUACUUAUGUUGAAUGAAAUGGGGCGAUAUUUUCCUUUAGCCUUUAAAAUGGUUACACGACUUACAUUAUAUCAACCACCACGACACUCGGUCUAGCAGAUAUGGAACUCAAAAAUCCAGAUUAGCAGUAAUGUGCAUCGUUACGCCAGUUUGUGCUCUAUUCUCCCAGCUCUCAUCUUCACCGAUGGAUGACAUAAUUUCCACCUUCCAUGAGUCCAUCUAGCCAUUUAAAUAGCCGGUCGUGCGCCUUCACUGAUCAGUGUUGAUCCGUUGGUUCAAGGAGAAACAUCUUUUUAAAGAAUAAGGUGUUGCUGUUUAAACUGAGAUUCACAUUUAAAGACUUGCAGCCAUGAAGGCAACGGCGAUUCUUCUGGGUUUUGUUGUCGCAACGUAUGCCGUUCCGCAAUACGGGUCUAUCCCACAACAAGCGCCAACGUCGAACUUUCAUAGCAAUUACGCGAACACUAGCCCAGCAGGGGGCAAACCUCAACUAGAAGACAUUCAAAGGCAAUGGGCCAAGUUCACUGAAAAGCUACCAUGGCUCCAAGGGCCUGCUGGUCCACCUGGCCCUCCAGGCGCACCUAGUGGGGAUCAGGUUCAGCAAACAAUAGUUGGCCCCCCUGGUCGUCCAGGAGCACCAGGACCUGCUGGACGUAAAGGAGAAAGUGGCACUCCUGGAAAUCCUGGAUUUGCUGGUGGAACUGGACCACAAGGACUACCUGGUCUUGACGGUGCUCCUGGUAGGCCUGGAAGAGCAGGUGAACGUGGAGCAAAUGGAUUUCCUGGCGCUCCUGGAGGACCUGGUUUCCCUGGUGCUAAAGGAGUGGCAGGAUCUAACGGAGCACCUGGUCUCAUUGGAGCUCCAGGGACUCCUGGAAAAGACGGUUUCAAUGGAUUGCCUGGAUUUCAAGGGGUCAAAGGGGAGCCGGGUCCGCCAGGCAUAACGUUGCCAUCAAAUGUUCCUGGACCUGCCGGUGCACCUGGUGCUCCUGGAAAAGACGGAUGGCCUGGUUUACCUGGUGGACCUGGACCCGCCGGCCGAGUUGGACCCUCUGGAGGCGUGGGAUCUGCAGGACGACCGGGGGGAAAUGGAUUUCCAGGGGCUCCUGGCCCAAAAGGUGAAGUUGGAAAUCCUGGUAUUAACGGCCAGUCUGGUAAAGAUGGACUUAAUGGCGCUCCAAGCACUAAACCUGGCCCAGUGGGACCCCAAGGACCUGUAGGACCACCAGGCUUUAAUGGUGCUCCUGGGAAAGAUGGUUCUUCUGGCUCACCAGGAGCUCCAGGUAAAGACGGACUUCCUGGCGGGCCCGGUUUACCAGGUGGACCUGGACAACCUGGUAAACAAGGCAAGGAUGGACUUAAUGGAGCCCCAGGGGUAGCUGGUCUUCCUGGUGGUCCUGGACCUGUAGGACCUCAAGGCAAACCAGGCGCUUCUGGUUUUCCUGGUGCACAAGGAAGUCCUGGGCCAGCUGGAUCUGUUGGAAACUCUGGGCCUCAGGGUAAACCUGGCGCACCAGGCUUCCCCGGUAGCUCGGGUUCUCCAGGUCCCCAGGGGGGACAGGGACCUCCAGGAGGAUUUGGGCCUCAAGGAAGACCCGGCACUCCUGGUGGCCCAGGACCUGCUGGCCCUGCAGGAGCUCCUGGUUCUCCCGGAAAUAUUGUUCAACCUCCUGCUUAUAAUGCACCUGGACAACAGCCUUCCUAUCAAGCCACAGCUCAACAGCAUUCAUCCCAUUCAUUUCAAUCUUUGCAACCCGCAUAUGGACGUUAGGAUCAUCCCCAGUUGAACUCUUUUAUCGGAGUUGAAGUUUAACCUCUUUAAAUUUCAAUCCAGGUUUUUUUUUAAGAUAAAUAUACAAAGAAUGGAGACAAGCGGUACACGAAUGAUGAGGGAAAAAAUCGUAGGUGAAGAUGAAGGUACAGCAGCAGAUCUUCAGUGCCGUUUACCACGAUGAUGUUAACAAACCAAAAACACAGAUGAAACAAAGGACAGGAAGGUCAAUAAGAUAAAGAAGUUUGAAAUCGCCUGACAAUACCAACAUAUCACAUUUCGCUUUCGAAAUGCAAAUCACCAGGUUGACGGCAAUUUGGAUUAUGUUCAUGAAUCCAUUUGUUUGAUACUGGAACGAGUUUCGCGCGGUAUGCUUUGUCAAGUCGUCGCCAUCACUGAUCGGGUGAAGAUAAUACAAGAACGCUGCACUGCUUUUCCGAGUCCAAACAGACAGAUAGACUUUCGGAAAGACUGUCGCCCCACCUGCCUCAACGUCACUUAUCUUUGAUUCAGAGUAAGGACAUUUUAUUUCUGACAACGGAGAGGUCGAAGCGUUGAACAAUUAAAUGCAAACAUUUAAGAUGGUCACGCGGAGGAGAGUAAUGGUAAUGUUAAGUCUACCCGAUCAAUUACAGCGUUCAGGUAACCAUCUCCGUAAUAAUACGAAUGCCUUCGUUAGACACGUCGCAGGUGGACGAUUGAUCUCCAAAUGGCUUUGGCUUUUCCAAUCAUCUCCUUCCUUCUGGCUUGCAUGAUUAGUGCCUCCUCGGCUUUUUGCUUUAUCUUUUCUUCCUUAGCAAAACGCUUGAAUUGUUCUUCUAGUUUGGAGUGAGCUGCGGCCACGGCCUCUUUUGCUGCAUCCAGCUCGGAAAGUGCUGAGGUCGCCCAGAAUUGCGACUGUAACAUGACUUCAACCAGUUUGUAUGUGUUCUUCUGAUAAGUGAAACGCUUUUCAAAUUCGUGCUGCUCACUGUAUGAUGAAAACAUUCUCUGAUAAUUCUCUGGAUUUUCGUCUUGGAGACGUUUCAAUGCCUCGAGUUCAGCAAUGAGUUUUUUUAGUUCGGCGUUCUCGCUCUCAAGUUCUGGUAUUUUGUCGUCUAUCUUUUGGCUUCGGGGCAACCCGGUUAAACUGUCAAUGCCAUCGUCAUGCGGAGAGUCUAAUUCAGGAGUUUCGAACUUUCGUUUACGUAUCUCGGCAAGACAGUUUAGCUCUUCGUCUUUUCUGUUUCUCGGAAUCAUUUUGACAGCAUCCAAAAUGGUCGUUGCCUUAAGUAGGAGUGCGCUUGCUGUUUCCAGCGCCCGUUCAGCUUGUUUUCCGGCAUCUUGUAAUACGUUGACCAUAUCGCCACACCUGGAUAUGUCAUCUCUGUAAAAAUUUGCUACCUUUGCCGUAGCCCGAAUGGAAUCCAACUUCCGUUCGUGUUUCCAAGCAUCGCAAUCGAUCUGAUCCUUCAACGAUUCCAAUUUGGACAGCUGAUUUCUAAGAUCGGCAUUUUCUUUCCCCAGUUCUUCUGUUCCGCGAGGUUCGUUGGUAGCUGGUGAAGAGGAUGUACUCAUGUCUGCGAUGUCUUCGUUAAAGGGUAAGCUCUUCCACCAUAUACUCUUUUCGCUGUCAUCCUUAUGCAUAAACUUAAACAGUUGGUCACUUGGAACUUCUAGAAUCUUUUUGGGUUCGUUUAUGGGUGGUGUUGACAAUGGGGGACAGACAUAUUUGCCACAAGUGCGUCCUUCGUUACUCGAUCUGGUAUUCGAUGUAUAUUCACUGUGCACAUCAGGUGUCUUUUUCACGGUUUGUACGAUCGUUUGAGUGCCAUGGGUUGUACCCGCAGAUACGUUUUCUUUAUCGCAGACUCUCUGUUCUUUCGGGAUCGCCUUUCCCGUUGAUGUAGAUGCUUCUGGAAUUUCAGAUAAUACGGCAGGUAGAGCUUCCUCCAUUGCUCUCUGAGGUUCGGCUUCGUCGGUUGACACAUUACUGUUCAACAUUUCAGCCCCGCUAGAAGUCGGUGACGCAGUUUCUGGUUGUCUCGGUAAGUUUUCGUUUUCAUCUGGGUUAUUGACUGGGUUUGGUCUGGUCUUGGUUUUCGGUGUAGAAUGUUGAGUGAAACAUAAAUUAAAGACUAGUACUCCAAUUGUUAUUGAGCCAAUUCCCGAAGCAAUGAAAUGAAUGAGCGAAAGCAUCCAUGUUAAAAUAUCGAAAAUGAUUUCGAAAAAUAGCACGUCCAUUUUGUGGUAUUCGCGGUGUAGUUGAUAAUUCGCUGAUGAAUUCGCUUACGCUGCAAUUGGAAGCGUCUCGUCUAUACUUCAUCUUCGUCUGCAAUGACGAAAGUAGGGGAGCAACUAGGGGACUUCUUUCCCGGAAAAUAAAAUGUGUAGCUUGCUGUGGUAUUAGAUUAUGUGACUUUUUUUAGAUUGGGAGACAUUAAUUCACAUAGUUCAACAGAAUAUUUACAAACCUUUCAUAACCUUUCCAUUUUGCCGAUUAUUGAAUCCCAAUGAACUGAAUUGCUGCAUUGGACUAAAAGAUGCAUUUGGUUACAUGAUAACCUAUAUGGUCGCGCCUAUUGCCCCUCAACUCCAGAUGGCACUAGUUACGGGAAAGAGUCGGCCUUCUAACUGUUUUUUUUUUUUUUUUUUUUUCCUCUCUUAUUAUUUGAUAUGAUACCUUCGUCCUUCGUGUAGUCUGAUAUUCAAGUUUUUUUUCCUUAGUUAUUUAUUGAGGUAAAAUCCUUCAGUGGGUACUAAUUGCAAAUGCUUUCUUUUCUUCAGAAUCGUGCGUUCAUAAUAUGAUGCUUUUUUAGUAUUAUUUUGUUUUUUGAGAUAGUUUUAAAUGAUAAAAGUCAUUUGAAAUGACAUUGAUGACAGAUAUAAUACUUAAACCAUCAUAUUAUGACACAUUGACACGCACGAUUCUGGAGAAAUAAAUGCGUUUGCAAUUGAUAACCACCGAAGGAUUUUAUCUCAAUAAAAUAGCUAACGAAAAAAAAAGAAAAAAACCUGAAUAUCAGCGGAAAGACUGCAAGAAGGUUCUCAUAAUAACAAAAAGGAAAAAACGAUCAGAAGGCCCUUCCCCGUAACUAGUGCCCUCUGGAGUUCAGGAGCAAUAGCAAAAAAGUCUAUUGCCAAACAAAAGUUGAGGGGCAAAAGACUCUCCCAACCUAUACACAUGAUUCGAAAUCUGUUGAAUCCUUCACUAACACCAAUCUGGAAGGUACAUCUAUCUGUUUAUAGUUAAGUCAUUUGGACCACUAAAAAAACAAAUUCUUUGAACACAUCGGCUGGAAUCCAUUGCGGUCUCAUGGAAGUUUGUCCCAUUACCAUGAAUUCAUCAGUAAUAAUGUUGGACAUAUUUCUGGUCAGCUUUUGAAAUACUUGUUCAUAUUUACUUGGCCUAAAGAUAACUGGGCAAUCAAACACAGUUGAGUGUUGUUCGGGACUGUUAGUUUCUGCUAAACUACAAAAUGUUGGUAUUCCUUUCCUAUUUAUACAUGCUGUGGAUCUGCUCAAUACACACUUGGACUCCCUGUUACACUUGGGUGAUUCUCAAGCUACUAUCCCAACAGCUGUAUUCACUGCUCUAGCUGCCUGGCAAAAUGAUUUUCAACAGAUUAUCUUGAUCACCAGAGCUGAACAUCAAGACCAAGAUGAAAUUUACUUUCACCUCGAUGCACCAUUACCACAAUGCUGUUAACAAUGGAAAAAUUAAAAAUUGCUGGUUAUUUAAAGAAAAACAAAAAAUAAUGAGCUGCACCCAAAAUUGAAAAGCACCUGUUAUCAUCUGUGAGGACACAAAUAAGAAAAAGAAAUUCCCCCGAAAGUCAUACUUGCUCUACAUUUUGCUCUCAUGUUUCAAACCACAUGAGAUGGAUUUCUUAAUUGAGCUCAUGAUUCCAUUCUUAGACGUUCAAAUGAGUUUCACAUCCUAUUAGAACAGGACAGGUGGCAUGCUGGAUCAAGUCGUCACCAUCAUUGUUCGGGUAAAGAUUAUACCAGAACGCUGCGCUGCCUUUCCGAGGCAAUACGGCCAAAUUGAUUUUUGGAAAAACUGUCGCCCCACAUGCCCCAAAAUAACUCAUCAAAGG